GUUUGAUCCUGGCUCAGAAUCAACGCUGGCGGCGUGCCUAACACAUGCAAGUCGAACGCGAAAGUCCCGAAAGGGAUAAGUAGAGUGGCAAACGGGUGAGUAACACGUGGGUGACCUGCCUUCGAGCGGGGGAUAACGUCCCGAAAGGGACGCUAAUACCGCAUGACAUCCUGCCUUUGAAGAGGCGGAGAUCAAAGCCGGGGAUCGCAAGACCUGGCACUCGAAGAGGGGCCCGCGCCUGAUUAGCUAGUUGGUGGGGUAAUGGCUCACCAAGGCGACGAUCAGUAGCCGGCCUGAGAGGGCGGACGGCCACACUGGGACUGAGACACGGCCCAGACUCCUACGGGAGGCAGCAGUGGGGAAUUGUUCGCAAUGGGCGCAAGCCUGACGACGCAACGCCGCGUGGAGGGCGAAGACCUUCGGGUCGUAAACUCCUUUCGAUCGAGACGAAUGGCCUUCGGGUGAACAAUCCGGAGGAAUGACGGUACCGAGAGAAGAAGCCCCGGCUAACUCCGUGCCAGCAGCCGCGGUAAUACGGGGGGGGCAAGCGUUGUUCGGAAUUACUGGGCGUAAAGGGCUCGUAGGUGGCCAACUAAGUCAGACGUGAAAUCCCUCAGCUUAACUGGGGAACUGCGUCUGAUACUGGAUGGCUUGAGUUUGGGAGAGGGAUGCGGAAUUCCAGGUGUAGCGGUGAAAUGCGUAGAUAUCUGGAGGAACACCGGUGGCGAAGGCGGCAUCCUGGACCAACACUGACACUGAUGAGCGAAAGCCAGGGGAGCAAACGGGAUUAGAUACCCCGGUAGUCCUGGCCCUAAACGAUGAAUGCUUGGUGUGGCGGGUAUCGAUCCCUG
RNAcentral lists this ribosomal RNA (851 nucleotides) under uncultured bacterium. RNAcentral's name for it is "bacterial SSU rRNA". It matches the Rfam family "Bacterial small subunit ribosomal RNA", at positions 11 to 840 of the family's 1533-position model. The record is from RNAcentral.